This 77-nucleotide ribosomal RNA is filed under the name Calvophomopsis rubenticola. RNAcentral's name for it is "partial 28S ribosomal RNA". It matches the Rfam family "Eukaryotic large subunit ribosomal RNA", at positions 1 to 74 of the family's 3401-position model. The record is from RNAcentral. RNAcentral also lists the same sequence under 2 other names. Lineage: Eukaryota; Fungi; Ascomycota; Leotiomycetes; Phacidiales; Phacidiaceae.
GGUUGACCUCGGAUCAGGUAGGGAUACCCGCUGAACUUAAGCAUAUCAAUAAGCGGAGGAAAAGAAACCAACAGGGA